Molecule: ribosomal RNA, 253 nt
Filed under: uncultured bacterium
Lineage: Bacteria
Description: partial 16S ribosomal RNA
Rfam family: Bacterial small subunit ribosomal RNA
Source: RNAcentral
UACAGAGGGUGCAAGCGUUGUUCGGAAUUAUUGGGCGUAAAGCGCGUGUAGGCGGCUUUGCAAGUCGAGUGUGAAAUCCCCGAGCUUAACUUGGGAAUUGCGCUCGAAACUACGGCGCUGGAGUAUGGCAGAGGAAGGUGGAAUUCCUGGUGUAGCAGUGAAAUGCGUAGAUAUCAGGAGGAACACCGAUGGCGAAGGCAGGUCUCUGGGCUGACACUGACGCUCAUGCACGAAAGCGUGGGGAGCAAACAGG